GGCCAAAUAAAACCAGAGUUAUGAUAAAUUAUGUCCGUGAUACUUUUUUUCUGCUUAUUUUGAUCACGUUCGGCACUCGAUCGCGCUGUAUGAGACAGGAAAACAUAGCAUGCAGACAUUAGCGACAGGUCUUACAGGCGGAAAAGGCUUGCCAAAAGAAAAAAAAAACACACCACAACAUCUCUCCUAUUGGUGGAAAACUUCACCACAACAACCAAUCCAAAAUUAUAUGGUGACUGAUUGACAAGGGGCGGGUGCUUACGUUCUUCCUGCAACAUGAGAAGCGAGGGAGGGACUCUCAGCAGGGAUGCAGUCUGGGACAUGUAGUUGCAAACCUAGCGACUUUGUUGUUAGAUUCAAUGACUUUUCAGACCCCCUAACGACUUUUUUUUUUAGAAAGAAAGGGACUUUUAUCGACUUCUUCUGGAGUUUAGAGACUCUGACAUGAAGCAGGCUUUCCUUACUGAGGAGUUAGCAACGCUGCUAAGGGUGCAGAGCCACACAUGCGCUCAGAGCUCUGCAUGGGAGACUGAAGCUGACAGAGCUGCAGCAGUUAGCAGGUUUCACCCUCAGAGACCACCAGGGGUUCAUGUUGAGGCAUUUUAAUUUUUUUUUUUUUUUGUGCCAUAGACACUGUCAGCACAAUCUGCAGUUACACUAACAAAAAUGCUGCAAAAAACAAAGAAUUAUGGAAAAAUUACACAUGGACUGACAUAGAGGAGGAUCUACACAAGUUUUUUACAUCAUGUUUUACAUCAUGCAUCAUUUACAUCAUGUUUUUUUGUAGUGGCAUAAAUAAAAAGUGACAUUUGUGAGACUAUACAGUGUUUUGUAAAUAAUUUUACAAAGAACGCCUGGGCCAUUGCCUGCAUUUUGAUGUAAAUAGAGGUAAAUCACUAUGUUCUUUGUUAAAAAUUUGCAUAUGUUUUGAAGUUUACAAUUUUUAUUUGAAGUUUAAGUUUUAAAAACAGUUCAUCACACAUAUUUGUGGUUUUCACAGUAAAAAUGUUACUUUUUUCCACUCGGAUUUUAUGUUUUGUGUGUGAAUUUGGGUCCAUUGUGUAAAUUCAGUAUGUCAACAUGAUAAAAUAACUGUAUAUUCGCACAGGUGAGGUUGUGCUGAAAAAAAUGAUACCAGGCAAGGCACGUGAUUGUCAAAUUUUGUGUCAAUAUGACAAAGCGUAUAGGCGUGAAUCUCAACAAUAUGUAUUUUCACCUUAGGGGACAAGAAAAAAUGGACUUUUUUCUCCUGCCAUGGGGGGCGCUCUUUUGGGGAGUAAAAAUUCCUUCACAAAUGUGUUGAUGGCUGGACAUUGCAUCAUCCUAGAAAACUUGGAGGCCAGUGAGGACAAAAAUAAAAAGUUAUAAGACUUUUAAAUAUGUGGAUUUUAGGGUUAUCUUUGGCGCCCCCUAGAACCUAAACCGUGGGGUGCAGCGUCAUGAUUUGAAUAACUUUUAAUGGCCAUGGGGUGUAGAUUGGCCUGAGCAAAUGUGUUGCCGGUGGAACGAAAGCCUUAGGAGGAGUUAGCCACAUUCCAAUGUGUGCGGAUCGGCAAAAAAUGCGGAAUAACCCUUUAACCGUACAUUUGACAGAUACGCGCUCAUAGACUUUUUUGUAGAUCUUAUUGAGAUACAUGUGUGUGUCAAUUUUUGUGUCAUUUUGCCAAAGCGUAAAGGUGUGACACUCAACAAUGUGUAUUUUCACCUUAGGGGUCAAGAAAAAAUGGACUUUUUUCUCCUGCCAUGGGGGGGCGCUCUUUUGGGGAGUAAAAAUUCCUUCACAGAUGUGUUGAUGGCUGGACAUUGCAUCAUCCUAGAAAACUUGGAGGCCAGUGAGGACAAAAAUAAAAAGUUAUAAGACUUUUAAAUAUGUGGAUUUUAGGGUUAUUUUUGGCGCCCCCUAGAACCUAAACCGUGGGGUGCAGCGUCAUGAUUUGAAUAACUUUUAAUGGCCAUGGGGUGUAGAUUGGCCUGAGCAAAUGUGGUGCCGGUGGAACGAAAGCCUUCGGAGGAGUUAGCGAAAUUCCAAUGUGUGCAGAUCUGCAAAAAAUGCAAAAUAACCCAUUAACCGUACAUUUGACAGAUACGCCCGCACUGACUUUUUUGUAGAUCUUAUUGAGAUACAUGUGUGUGUCAAUUUUUGUGUCAAUAUGACAAAGCGUACAGCCGUCAUGUGAAUUUUCACCUUAGGGGGCGCUAUGGAGCCAUUUUGCAUUUUAUUGUUUGGGCGACUUCGGAAUAUCAAAUUUUUCACCAGGCCCGGUCGUCCUGCCAAAUUUCAUGAGUUUUCGCCAGUGGGAAGUGGGCCAUUUUCCAGUUCAAAGGGGAGGAAAAAGAAAAAAGAAACAAAGAAAAACCACUUGGGGAAUAAUAGGGCUCUCGCAGCUGCUUAGCAGCUACGCUCGGGCCCUAAUAAUAACAAAAGAAGGAAACUACAGGAACAAGAGGGCUCUCGCAGCUGCUUAGCAGCUACGCUCGGGCCCUAAAGAAAGAAAGAAAGAAAGAAACAAAGAAAAACCACUUGGGGAAUAAUAGGGCCUACGCCCGGCUGCUCUGCAGCUGGCUCGGGCCCUAAUAAGAAGAAGAAGAAACUAGGGCCCCGUUGGGGCACUGGCGGGCCCGAGCCUCGUUGCGCCGCCCCCAGUGCGACCACCUCCCCCUCCCGAUCGCGUCACACUCAAGGUCCAAAGAUGGUGUGCGCACUUGUCUGUGGUCAUUUCCCAUUAUAAUGAAUAGGAGGCGCAGUUUCUACCAAAACACUCGCUGCAGACAAACUACAUGUCCUAUUUGAAAAAAGUCUGGACCAUGAGUGAGGGCACAAACACAGCUAGGAUAUAUCCAAACGGCAAGUUGCUCCUCGUUACGGUGUUGCCGGGAGAGCGAUGCGAUUGAGCCAUUGAGUGAUGGGCAGGAAAAACUUGACUGUUUCUCCUGCCAUGGGGGAUGGGGGAUGGGGGGGGGGGAUUCUUUUAAGAAUGUGGAUAUUUGGGUCAUCUUUGGCGCCCCCUAGAACGUAAACCGUGGGGUGCAGCGUCAUGAUUUUUACAACUUUGAAUGGCCAUGGGGUGUAGAUUGGCCUGAGCAAAUUUGGUGUCAGUGGGACGAAAGCCUUAGGAGGAGUUAGCCACAUUCCAAUGUGUGCUAAUCGGCAAAAAAUGCAAAAUAGCCCUUUAACCGUACAUUUUACAGAUACGCGCGCAUUGACUUUUUCGUAGAUCUUAUUGAGAUACAUGUGUGUGUCAAAUUUUGUGUCAAUAUGACAAAGCAUACAGGUAUGACAGUCAACAAUGUGUAUUUUCACCUUAUGGGACAAGAAAAAAUGGACUUUUUUCUCCUGCCAUGGGGGGGCGCUCUUUUGGGGAGUAAAAAUUCCUUCACAAAUGUGUUGAUGGCUGGACAUUGCAUCAUCCUAGAAAACUUGGAGGCCAGAGAGGACAAAAAUAAAAAGUUAUAAGACUUUUAAAUAUGUGGAUUUUAGGGUUAUCUUUGGCGCCCCCUAGAACCUAAACCGUGGGGUGCAGCGUCAUGAUUUGAAUAACUUUUAAUGGCCAUGGGGUGUAGAUUGGCCUGAGCAAAUGUGGUGCCGGUGGAACGAAAGCCUUCGGAGGAGUUAGCGAAAUUCCAAUGUGUGCGGAUCGGCAAAAAAUGCGCAAUAACCCUUUAACCGUACAUUUGACAGAUACGCGCGCAUUGACUUUUUCGUAGAUCUUAUUGAGAUACAUGUGUGUGUCAAUUUUUGUGUCAUUUUGCCAAAGCGUACAGGCGUGACACUAAACAAUGUGUAUUUUCACCUUAUGGGACAAGAAAAAAUUGACUUUUUUCUCCUGCCAUGGGGGGGCGCUCUUUUGGGGAGUAAAAAUUCCUUCACAAAUGUGUUGAUGGCUGGACAUCGCAUCAUCCUAGAAAACUUGGAGGCCAGUGAGGGCAAAAAUAAAAAGUUAUAAGACUUUUAAAUAUGUGGAUUUUAGGGUUAUCUUUGGCGCCCCCUAGAACCUAAACCUUUCUGCUUGUUUUGAUCACGUUCGGCGCUCGAUCGCGCUGUAUGAGACAGGAAAACAUAGCAUGCACACAUUAGUGACAGGUCUUACAGGCGGAAAAGGCUUGCCAAAAGAAAAAAAAAACACACCACAACAUCUCUCCUAUUGGUGGAAAACUUCACCACAACAACCAAUCCAAAAUUAUAUGGUGACUGAUUGACAAGGGGCGGGCGCUUACGUUCUUCCUGCAACAUGAGAAGGGAGGGAGGGACUCUCAGCAGGGAUGCAGUCUGGGACACGUAGUUGCAAACCUAGCGACUUUGUUGUUAGAUUCAAUUACUUUUCAGACCCCCUAACGACUUUUUUUUAGAAAGAAAGGGACUUUUAUCGACUUCUUCUGGAGUUUAGAGACUCUGACAUGAAGCAGGCUUUCCUUACUGAGGAGUUAGCAACGCUGCUAAGGGUGCAGAGCCACACAUGCGCUCCGAGCUCUGCAUGGGAGACUGAAGCUGACAGAGCUGCAGCAGUUAGCAGGUUUCACCCUCAGAGACCACCAGGGGUUCAUGCUGAGGCAUUUUCAGUUUUUGUUUUUUUUGCCAUAGACUGUCAGCACAAUCUGCAGUUACACUAACAAAAAUGCUGCAAAAAACAAAGAAUUAUGGAAAAAUUACACAUGGACUGACAUAGAGGAGGAUCUACACAAGUUUUUUACAUCAUGUUUUACAUCAUGCAUCAUUUACAUCAUGUUUUUUUGUAGUGGCAUACAUAAAAAGUGACAUUUGUGAGACUAUACAGUGUUUUGUAAAUAAUUUUACAAAGAACGCCUGGGCCAUUGCCUGCAUUUUGAUGUAAAUAGAGGUAAAUUACUAUGUUCUUUGUUAAAAAUUUGCAUAUGUUUUGAAGUUUACAAUUUUUAUUUGAAGUUUAAGUUUUAAAAACAGUUCAUCACACAUAUUUGUGGUUUAAUUUCACAUUAAUUUCCAUAUUGUAUAAAUGACUGGAAAAAACUUGAGCCCCUGCCCCUGUAUAAUCAUGUGCACGUCCCUGUUCUAGCUCCAAGGUGAAUCUUCACUGCUCAUGUUCUCCUCAGAAAUAGUCACCUCACUCCCCUCAGGUUACUGUACACAUGCACCAACUAUCUGCUUCAGGUUUGGAUGGAGCUUCAUGGUUGUCUUUUGGAGAAAUGAACAGUCAAGUUGUGUUUGAAAUCUGAUUUUUUUCAGGGGCAAAAGGAAGCCUCUGCAUUCUUGUCAAAUAUGUAAACAGCAUGUUUUUGCAGGUGCUAAAAAACAGACUCUGAGUGUGUGUGUGUGUGUGUGUGUGUGUGUGUGUGUGUGUGUGUGUGUGUGUGUGUGUGUGUGUGUGUGUGUUCCUGCAGUACUCUGUACUCCUGCAGUGGCCAAAAAGACUUUUAAGAAUGUGGAUUUUUGGGUCAUCUUUGGCGCCCCCUAGAACUGCAGUACUCUGUACUCCUGCAGUGGCCAAAAUGACUUUUAAGAAUGUGGAUUUUUGGGUCAUCUUUGGCGCCCCCUAGAACGUAAACCGUGGGGUGCAGCGUCAUGAUUUUUACAACUUUGAAUGGGCAUGGGGUGUAGAUUGCCCUGAGCAAAUUUGGUAUCGGUGGGACGAAAGCCUUAGGAGGAGAUAGCCACAUUCCAAUGUGUGCGAAUCGGCAAAAAAUGCGAAAUAGCCCUUUAACCGUACAUUAUACAGACACGCGCUUUUUGACUUUUUCGUAGAUCUAAUUGAGAUACACAUGAUUGUCAAUUUUUGUGUCAAUAUGACAAAGCGUUCAGGCGUGACACUCAACAAUGUGUAUUUUCAUGUAAGGGGACAAGAAAAAAUUGACUUUUUUCUCCUGCCAUGGGGGGGCGCUCUUUUGGGGAGUAAAAAUUCCUUCACAAAUGUGUUGAUGGCUGGACAUUGCAUCAUCCUAGAAAACUUGGAGGGCAGUGAGGACAAAAAUAAAAAGUUAUAAGACUUUUAAGAAUGUGGAUUUUGGGUUAUCUUUGGCGCCCCCUAGAACGUAAACCGUGGGGUGCAGCGUCAUGAUUUGUACAACUUUUAAUGGCCAUGGGGGGUAGAUUGGCCUGCGCAAAUGUGGUGCCGGUCGAACGAAAGCCUUCGGAGGAGUUAGCGAAAUUCCAAUGUGUGCAGAUCUGCAAAAAAUGCAAAAAAACCCAUUAACCGUACAUUUGACAGAUACGCCCGCACUGACUUUUUUGUAGAUCUUAUUGAGAUACAUGUGUGUGUCAAUUGUUGUGUCAAUAUGACAAAGCGUACAGCUGUCAUGUGAAUUUUCACCUUAGGGGGCGCUAUGGAGCCAUUUUGCAUUUUCUUGUUUGGGCGACUUCAGAAUAUCGAAUUUUUCACCAGGCCCGGUCGUCCUGCCAAAUUUCCUGAGUUUUCGCCAGUGGGAAGUGGGCCAUUUUCCAGUUUAAAGCGGAGGAAAAAUAAUAACGAAAGAAGGAAACAUGCAGGAACAAGAGGGCUCUCGCAGCUGCUUAGCAGCUACGCUCGGGCCCUAAAGAAAGAAAGAAAGAAAGAAAGAAGAAAGAAAAACUCAUCAGGAAUAAUAGGGCUCUACGCCCGGCUGCUCUGCAGCUGGCUCGGGCCCUAACUAGGACCCCGUUGGGGCACUGGCGGGCCCGAGCCGUGUCGCGUCUCCCCCCCCCCCCCAACAUGCUGCCUCCCCGUCCCAUUUGUGCCCAUCACUGCAAAGACCCUUUUCCUUCAUCGGCGUUUGCUGUUCUUCCUGCCAGUGCGUGUUGCUUUCACUUACACUUGCCACAGCCAGCCUCGUGAGUGCCUAGCCUAUUGGAUAUCACUGUCACCUACACAGGACAGUCAUUACCUUUCUAUUAAUACUUUGUGUUUUAAUUUCACAUUAAUUUCCAUAUUGUAUAAACGACUGGAAAAAACUUGAGCCCCUGCCCCUGUAUAAUCAUGUGCAUGUCUCUGUUCUAGCUCCAAGGUGAAUCUUCACUGCUCAUGUUCUCCUCAGAAGCACUCACCUCACUCCCCUCAGGUUACUGUACACAUGCACCAACUGCCUGCUUCAGGUUUGGAUGGAGCUUCAUGGUUGUCUUUUGGAGAAAUGACCAGUCAAGUUGUGUUUGAAAUUUGAUUUUUUUCAGGGGCAAAAGGAGCCUCUGCAUUCUUGUCAAAUAUGUAAAUAGCAUGUUUUUGCAGGUGCUAAAAACCAGACUCUGAGUGUGUGUGUGUGUGUGUGUGUGUGUGUGUGUGUGUGUGUGUGCGUGUGUGUGCGUGUGUGUGUGUCUAUGUGUGCGUUCAAGUCACAUGACAUAUUUAACCGGAUGUAGCUGCAAGACGGAGCCUCGUUGACUCUCCAUUUCAACUUAUCUCAAAAGUGAGGACCUCAACCUAUAUACCAGUUUUUAAAUUGUGUUGAUAGGCCAAAUAAAACCAGAGUUAUGAUAAAUUAUGUCCGCGAUACUUUUUUUCUGCUUAUUUUGAUCACGUUCGGCGCUCGAUCGCGCUGUAUGAGACAGGAAAACAUAGCAUGCAGACAUUAGCGACAGGUCUUACAGGCGGAAAAGGCUUGCCAAAGGAAAAAAAUACACACCACAACAUCUCUCCUAUUGGUGGAAAACUUCACCACAACAACCAAUCCAAAAUUAUAUGGUGACUGAUUGACAAGGGGCGGGCGCUUACGUUCUUCCUGCAACAUGAGAAGGGAGGGAGGGACUCUCAGCAGGGAUGCAGUCUGGGACACGUAGUUGCAAACCUAGCGACUUUGUUGUUAGAUUCAAUGACUUUUCAGACACCCUAACGACUUUUUUUUAGAAAGAAAGGGACUUUUAUCGACUUCUUCUGGAGUUUAGAGACUCUGACAUGAAGCAGGCUUUCCUUACUGAGGAGUUAGCAACGCGGCUAAGGGUGCAGAGCCACACAUGCGCUCAGAGCUCUGCAUGGGAGACUGAAGCUGACAGAGCUGCAGCAGUUAGCAGGUUUCACCCUCAGAGACCACCAGGGGUUCAUGUUGAGGCAUUUUAAUUUUUUUUUUUUUUUGUGCCAUAGACACUGUCAGCACAAUCUGCAGUUACACUAACAAAAAUGCUGCAAAAAACAAAGAAUUAUGGAAAAAUUACACAUGGACUGACAUAGAGGAGGAUCUACACAAGUUUUUUACAUCAUGUUUUACAUCAUGCAUCAUUUACAUCAUGUUUUUUUGUAGUGGCAUAAAUAAAAAGUGACAUUUGUGAGACUAUACAGUGUUUUGUAAAUAAUUUUACAAAGAACGCCUGGGCCAUUGCCUGUAUUUGGAUGUAAAUAGAGGUAAAUUACUAUGUUCUUUGUUAAAAAUUUGCAUAUGUUUUGAAGUUUACAAUUUUUAUUUGAAGUUUAAGUUUUAAAAACAGUUCAUCACACAUAUUUGUGGUUUAAUUUCACAUUAAUUUCCAUAUUGUAUAAAUGACUGGAAAAAACUUGAGCCCCUGCCCCUGUAUAAUCAUGUGCACGUCCCUGUUCUAGCUCUAAGGUGAAUCUUCACUGCUCAUGUUCUCCUCAGAAAUAGUCACCUCACUCCCCUCAGGUUACUGUACACAUGCACCAACUAUCUGCUUCAGGUUUGAAAUGGAGCUUCAUGGUUGUCUUUUGGAGAAAUGAACAGUCAAGUUGUGUUUGAAAUUUGAUUUUUUUCAGGGGCAAAAGGAAGCCUCUGCAUUCUUGUCAAAUAUGUAAACAGCAUGUUUUUGCAGGUGCUAAAAAACAGACUCUGAGUGUGUGUGUGUGUCUGUGUGUGUGUGUGUGUGUGUGUGUGUGUGUGUGUGUAUGUUGGCGUGUGUGUAUAUGUGUGUGUAUCCUGCAGUACUCUGUACUCCUGCAGUGGCCAAAAAGACUUUUAAGAAUGUGGAUUUUUGGGUCAUCUUUGGCGCCCCCUAGAACUGCAGUACUCUGUACUCCUGCAGUGGCCAAAAUGACUUUUAAGAAUGUGGAUUUUUGGGUCAUUUUUGGCGCCCCCUAGAACGUAAACCGUGGGGUGCAGCGUCAUGAUUUUUACAACUUUGAAUGGGCAUGGGGUGUAGAUUGCCCUGAGCAAAUUUGGUAUCGGUGGGACGAAAGCAUUAGGAGGAGAUAGCCACAUUCCAAUGUGUGCGAAUCGGCAAAAAAUGCAAAAUAGCCCUUUAACCGUACAUUAUACAGAUACGCGCUCUUUGACUUUUUCGUAGAUCUAAUUGAGAUACACAUGAUUGUCAAUUUUUGUGUCAAUAUGACAAAGCGUUCAGGCGUGACACUCAACAAUGUGUAUUUUUAUGUAAGGGGACAAGAAAAAAUUGACUUUUUUCUCCUACCAUGGGGGGGCGCUCUUUUGGGGAGUAAAAAUUCCUUCACAAAUGUGUUGAUGGCUGGACAUUGCAUCAUCCUAGAAAACUUGGAGGCCAGUGAGGACAAAAAUAAAAAGUUAUAAAACAUUUAAGAAUGUGGAUUUUUGGGUUAUUUUUGGCGCCCCCUAGAACCUAAACCAUGGGGUGCAGCAUCAUGAUUUGAAUAACUUUUAAUGGCCAUGGGGUGUAGAUUGGCCUGAGCAAAUGUGGUGCCGGUGGAACGAAAGCCUUCGGAGGAGUUAGCGAAAUUCCAAUGUGUGCGUAUCGGCAAAAAAUGCGGAAUAACCCUUUAACUGUACAUUUGACAGAUACGCGCGCUUGGACUUUUUUGUAGAUCUUAUUGAGUUACAUGUGUGUGUCAAUUUUUGUGUCAUUUUGACAAAGCGUAUAGGCGUGACACUCAACAAUGUGUAUUUUCACCUUAGGGGACAAGAAAAAAUGGACUUUUUUCUCCUGCCAUGGGGGGGCGCUCUUUUGGGGAGUAAAAAUUCCUUCACAAAUGUGUUGAUGGCUGGACAUUGCAUCAUCCUAGAAAACUUGGAGGCCAGUGAGGACAAAAAUAAAAAGUUAUAAGACUUUUAAAUAUGUGGAUUUUAGUGUUAUCUUUGGCGCCCCCUAGAACCUAAACCUUGGGGUGCAGCGUCAUGAUUUUGAUAACUUUUAAUGGCCACGGGGUGUAGAUUGGCCUGAGCAAAUGUGGUGCCGGUGGAACGAAAGCCUUCGGAGGAGUUAGCGAAAUUCCAAUGUGUGCGGAUCGGCAAAAAAUGCGAAAUAACCCUUUAACCGUAAUUUUGACAGAUACGGCCGCACUGACUUUUUUGUAGAUCUUAUUGAGAUACAUAUGUGUGUCAAUUUUUGUGUCAAUAUGACAAAGCGUACAGGCGUGACAGUCAAUAGUGUGAAUUUCCACCUUAGGGGGCGCUAUGGAGCCAUUUUGAAUUUUAUUGUUUGGGCGACUUCAGAAUAUCGAAUUUUUCACCAGGCCCGGUCGUCCUGCCAAAUUUCAUGAGUUUUCGCCAGUGGGAAGUGGGCCAUUUUCCAGUUCAAAGGGGAGGAAAAAGAAGAAACUAGGGCCCCGUUGGGGCACUGGCGGGCCCGAGCCGUGUCACGCCGCCCCCAGCGCGACCGCCUCCCCCACCCGAUCGCGUCACACUCAAGGUCCAAAGAUGGUGUGCGCACUUGUUUGUGGUCAUUUACCAUUAUAAUGAACGGGAGGCGCAGUUUCUACCAAAACGCUCGCUGCAGAAAAACUCCAUGUCCUAUUUGAAAAAAGUCUGGACCAUGAGUGAGGGCACAAACACAGCUAAGAUAUAUCCAAAUGGCAAGUUGCUCCUCCUUUCGCUUUUGCCGAGAGAGCAGUGCGUUUGAGCCAUUGAAUGAUGAACAGGAAAAACUUGACUUUAUUCUCCUGCCAUGGGGGGCGCUCUUUUAAAGAGAAAAAACUCCUUCACAAAUGUGUUGAUGGCUGGACAUUGCAUCAUCCUAGAAAACAUGGAGGCCAGUGAGGACAAAAAUAAAAAUUUAUAAGACUUUUAAAUAUGUGGAUUUUAGGGUUAUCUUUGGCGCCCCUUAGAACCUAAACCGUGGGGUGCAGCGUCAUGAUUUGAAUAACUUUUAAUGGCCAUGGGGUGUAGAUUGGCCUGAGCAAAUGUGGUGCCGGUGGAACGAAAGCCUUCGGAGAAAUUAGCGAAAUUCCAAUGUGUGCGAAUCUGCAAAAAAUGCGAAAUAACCCUUUAACCGUACAUUUUACAGAUACGUGGCCAUUGACUUUUUCGAAGAUCUUAUUGAAAUACACGUGUAUGUAAAAUUUUGUGUCAAUACGACAAAACAUACAGGCGUAGCACUCAACAAUGUGUAUUUUCACCUUAGUGGACAAGAAAAAAUGGACUUUUUUCUCCUGCCAUGGGGGGGCGCUCUUUUGCCGAGUAAAAAUUCCUUCACAAAUGUGUUGAUGGCUGGACAUUGCAUCAUCCUAGAAAACUUGGAGGCCAGUGGGGACAAAAAUAAAAAGUUAUAAGACUUUUAAAUAUGUGGAUUUUACGGUUAUCUUUGGCUCCCCCUAGAACCUAAACCGUGGGGUGCAGCGUCAUGAUUUGAAUAACUUUUAAUGGCCAUGGGGUGUAGAUUGGCCUGAGCAAAUGUGGUGCCGGUGGAACGAAAGCCUUCGGAGGAGUUAGCGAAAUUCCAAUGUGUGCGGAUCGGCAAAAAAUGCGGAAUAACCCUUUAACCGUACAUUUGACAGAUACGCGCGCAUUGACUUUUUCGUAGAUCUUAUUGAGAUACAUGUGUGUGUCAAUUUUUGUGUCAUUUUGCCAAAGCGUACAGGUGUUACACUCAACAAUGUGUAUUUUCACCUUAGGGGACAAGAAAAAAUGGACUUUUUUCUCCUGCCAUGGGGGGCGCUCUUUUGGGGAGUAAAAAUUCCUUCACAAAUGUGUUGAUGGCUGGACAUUGCAUCAUCCUAGAAAACUUGGAGGCCAGUGAGGGCAAAAAUAAAAAGUUAUAAGACUUUUAAAUAUGUGGAUCUUAGGGUUAUCUUUGGCGCCCCCUAGAACCUAAACCGUGGGGUGCAGCGUCAUGAUUUGAAUAACUUUUAAUGGCCAUGGGGUGUAGAUUGGCCUGAGCAAAUGUGGUGCCGGUGGAACGAAAAGCCUUCGGAGGAGUUAGCGAAAUUCCAAUGUGUGCGGAUCGGCAAAAAAUGCGGAAUAACCCUUUAACCGUACAUUUGACAGAUACGCGCGCAUUGACUUUUUUGUAGAUCUUAUUGAGAUACAUGUGUGUGUCAAUUUUUGUGUCAUUUUGCCAAAGCGUACAGGUGUUACACUCAACAAUGUGUAUUUUCACCUUAGGGGACAAGAAAAAAUGGACUUUUUUCUCCUGCCAUGGGGGGGCGCUCUUUUGGGGAGUAAAAAUUCCUUCACAAAUGUGUUGAUGGCUGGACAUUGCAUCAUCCUAGAAAACUUGGAGGCCAGUGAGGGCAAAAAUAAAAAGUUAUAAGACUUUUAAAUAUGUGGAUCUUAGGGUUAUCUUUGGCGCCCCCUAGAACCUAAACCGUGGGGUGCAGCGUCAUGAUUUGAAUAACUUUUAAUGGCCAUGGGGUGUAGAUUGGCCUGAGCAAAUGUGGUGCCGGUGGAACGAAAGCCUUCGGAGGAGUUAGCGAAAUUCCAAUGUGUGCGGAUCGGCAAAAAAUGCGAAAUAACCCUUUAACCGUACAUUUGACAGAUACGCCCGCACUGACUUUUUUGUAGAUCUUAUUGAGAUACAUGUGUGUGUCAAUUUUUGUGUCAUUUGGACAAAGCGUACCGGCGUGACAGUGAAUAGUGUGAAUUUUCACCUUAGGGGGCGCUAUGGAGCCAUUUUGCAUUUUCUUGUUUGGGCGACUUCGGAAUAUCAAAUUUUUCACCAGGCCCGGUCGUCCUGCCAAAUUUCAUGAGUUUUCGCCAGUGGGAAGUGGGCCAUUUUCCAGUUCAAAGGGGAGGAAAAAUAACUAGGACCCCGUUGGGGCACUGGCGGGCCCGAGCCUUGUCGGAUGGAGCUUUGGAUGGAGCUUCAUGGUUGUCUUUUGGAGAAAUGACCAGUCAAGUUGUGUUUGAAAUUUGAUUUUUUUUUCAGGGGCAAAAGGAGCCUCUGCAUUCUUGUCAAAUAUGUAAAUAGCAUGUUUUUGCAGGUGCUAAAAACCAGACUCUGAGUGUGUGUGUGUGUGUGUGUGUGUGUGUGUGUGUGUGUGUGUGUGUGUGUGUGUGUGCGUGUGUGUGUGUCUGUGUGUGCGUUCAAGUCACAUGACAUAUUUAACCGGAUGUAGCUGCAAGACGGAGCCUCGUUGACUCUCCGUUUCAACUUAUCUCAAAAGUGAGGACCUCAACCUAUAUACCAGUUUUUAAAUUGUGUUGAUAGGCCAAAUAAAACCAGAGUUAUGAUAAAUUAUGUCCGCGAUACUUUUUUUCUGCUUAUUUUGAUCACGUUCGGCGCUCGAUCGCGCUGUAUGAGACAGGAAAACAUAGCAUGCACACAUUAGCGACAGGUCUUACAGGCGGAAAAGGCUUGCCAAAAGAAAAAAAAAACACACCACAACAUCUCUCCUAUUGGUGGAAAACUUCACCACAACAACCAAUCCAAAAUUAUAUGGUGACUGAUUGACAAGGGGAGGGCGCUUACGUUCUUCCUGCAACAUGAGAAGGGAGGGAGGGACUCUCAGCAGGGAUGCAGUCUGGGACACGUAGUUGCAAACCUAGCGACUUUGUUGUUAGAUUCAAUGACUUUUCAGACCCCCUAACGACUUUUUUUUUUAGAAAGAAAGGGACUUUUAUCGACUUCUUCUGGAGUUUAGAGACUCUGACAUGAAGCAGGCUUUCCUUACUGAGGAGUUAGCAACGCUGCUAAGGGUGCAGAGCCACACAUGCGCUCAGAGCUCUGCAUGGGAGACUGAAGCUGACAGAGCUGCAGCAGUUAGCAGGUUUCACCCUCAGAGACCACCAGGGGUUCAUGUUGAGGCAUUUUAAUUUUUUUUUUUUUUUGUGCCAUAGACACUGUCAGCACAAUCUGCAGUUACACUAACAAAAAUGCUGCAAAAAACAAAGAAUUAUGGAAAAAUUACACAUGGACUGACAUAGAGGAGGAUCUACACAAGUUUUUUACAUCAUGUUUUACAUCAUGCAUCAUUUACAUCAUGUUUUUUUGUAGUGGCAUAAAUAAAAAGUGACAUUUGUGAGACUAUACAGUGUUUUGUAAAUAAUUUUGCAAAGAACGCCUGGGCCAUUGCCUGCAUUUUGAUGUAAAUAGAGGUAAAUUACUAUGUUCUUUGUUAAAAAUUUGCAUAUGUUUUGAAGUUUACAAUUUUUAUUUGAAGUUUAAGUUUUAAAAACAGUUCAUCACACAUAUUUGUGGUUUAAUUUCACAUUAAUUUCCAUAUUGUAUAAAUGACUGGAAAAAACUUGAGCCCCUGCCCCUGUAUAAUCAUGUGCACGUCCCUGUUCUAGCUCCAAGGUGAAUCUUCACUGCUCAUGUUCUCCUCAGAAAUAGUCACCUCACUCCCCUCAGGUUACUGUACACAUGCACCAACUAUCUGCUUCAGGUUUGAAAUGGAGCUUCAUGGUUGUCUUUUGGAGAAAUGAACAGUCAAGUUGUGUUUGAAAUUUGAUUUUUUUCAGGGGCAAAAGGAAGCCUCUGCAUUCUUGUCAAAUAUGUAAACAGCAUGUUUUUGCAGGUGCUAAAAAACAGACUCUGAGUGUGUGUGUGUGUCUGUGUGUGUGUGUGUCUGUGUGUGUGUGUAUGUUGGCGUGUGUGUAUAUGUGUGUGUAUCCUGCAGUACUCUGUACUCCUGCAGUGGCCAAAAAAACCUUUUAAGAAUGUGGAUUUUUGGGUCAUCUUUGGCGCCCCCUAGAACUGCAGUACUCUGUACUCCUGCAGUGGCCAAAAUGACUUUUAAGAAUGUGGAUUUUUGGGUCAUCUUUGGCGCCCCCUAGAACGUAAACCGUGGGGUGCAGCGUCAUGAUUUUUACAACUUUGAAUGGGCAUGGGGUGUAGAUUGCCCUGAGCAAAUUUGGUAUCGGUGGGACGAAAGCCUUAGGAGGAGAUAGCCACAUUCCAAUGUGUGCGAAUCGGCAAAAAAUGCAAAAUAGCCCUUUAACCGUACAUUAUAAAGAUACGCGCUCUUUGACUUUUUCGUAGAUCUAAUUGAGAUACACAUGAUUGUCAAUUUUUGUGUCAAUAUGACAAAGCGUUCAGGCGUGACACUCAACAAUGUGUAUUUUCAUGUAAGGGGACAAGAAAAAAUGGACUUUUUUCUCCUACCAUGGGGGGGCGCUCUUUUGGGGAGUAAAAAUUCCUUCACAAAUGUGUUGAUGGCUGGACAUUGCAUCAUCCUAGAGAACUUGGAGGCCAGUGAGGACAAAAAUAAAAAGUUAUAAAACAUUUAAGAAUGUGGAUUUUUGGGUUAUUUUUGGCGCCCCCUAGAACCUAAACCAUGGGGUGCAGCAUCAUGAUUUGAAUAACUUUUAAUGGCCAUGGGGUGUAGAUUGGCCUGAGCAAAUGUGGUGCCGGUGGAACGAAAGCCUUCGGAGGAGUUAGCGAAAUUCCAAUGUGUGCGUAUCGGUAAAAAAUGCGGAAUAACCCUUUAACUGUACAUUUGACAGAUACGCGCGCAUGGACUUUUUUGUAGAUCUUAUUGAGUUACAUGUGUGUGUCAAUUUUUGUGUCAUUUUGACAAAGCGUAUAGGCGUGACACUCAAGAAUGUGUAUUUUCACCUUAGGGGACAAGAAAAAAUGGACUUUUUUCUCCUGCCAUGGGGGGGGCGCUCUUUUGGGGAGUAAAAAUUCCUUCACAAAUGUGUUGAUGGCUGGACAUUGCAUCAUCCUAGAAAACUUGGAGGCUAGUGAGGACAAAAAUAAAAAGUUAUAAGACUUUUAAAUAUGUGGAUUUUAGUGUUAUCUUUGGCGCCCCCUAGAACCUAAACCUUGGGGUGCAGCGUCAUGAUUUUGAUAACUUUUAAUGGCCACGGGGUGUAGAUUGGCCUGAGCAAAUGUGGUGCCGGUGGAACGAAAGCCUUCGGAGGAGUUAGCGAAAUUCCAAUGUGUGCGGAUCGGCAAAAAAUGCGAAAUAACCCUUUGACCGUACAUUUGACAGAUACGGCCGCACUGACUUUUUUGUAGAUCUUAUUGAGAUACAUAUGUGUGUCAAUUUUUGUGUCAAUAUGACAAAGCGUACAGGCGUGACAGUCAAUAGUGUGAAUUUCCACCUUAGGGGGCGCUAUGGAGCCAUUUUGCAUUUUAUUGUUUGGGCGACUUCAGAAUAUCGAAUUUUUCACCAGGCCCGGUCGUCCUGCCAAAUUUCAUGAGUUUUCGCCAGUGGGAAGUGGGCCAUUUUCCAGUUCAAAGGGGAGGAAAAAGAAGAAAGAAAGAAAGAAAGAAAGAAAGAAAGAAAGAAACAAAGAAAAACCACUUGGGGAAUAAUAGGGCCUACGCCCGGCUGCUCUGCAGCUGGCUCGGGCCCUAAUAAUAAUAACAAAAGAAGGAAACUACAGGAACAAGAGGGCUCUCGCAGCUGCUUAGCAGCUACGCUCGGGCCCUAACUAGGACCCCGUUGGGGCACUGGCGGGCCCGAGCCGUGUCGCGUCUCCCCCCCAACGCGCUGCCUCCCCGUCCCAUUUGUGUCCUCUGGCCAUCGCCCUCUCUGUUAACGCCCAUCACUGCAAAGACCCUUUUCCUUCAUCGGCGUUUGCUGUUCUUCCUGCCAGUGCGUGUUGCUUUCACUUACACUUGCCACAGCCAGCCUCGUGAGUGCCUAGCCUAUUGGAUAUCACUGUCACCUACACAGGACAGUCAUUACCUUUCUAUUAAUACUUUGUGUUUUAAUUUCACAUUAAUUUCCAUAUUGUAUAAACGACUGGAAAAAACUUGAGCCCCUGCCCCUGUAUAAUCAUGUGCAUGUCUCUGUUCUAGCUCCAAGGUGAAUCUUCACUGCUCAUGUUCUCCUCAGAAGCACUCACCUCACUCCCCUCAGGUUACUGUACACAUGCACCAACUGCCUGCUUCAGGUUUGGAUGGAGCUUCAUGGUUGUCUUUUGGAGAAAUGACCAGUCAAGUUGUGUUUGAAAUUUGAUUUUUUUCAGGGGCAAAAGGAGCCUCUGCAUUCUUGUCAAAUAUGUAAAUAGCAUGUUUUUGCAGGUGCUAAAAACCAGACUCUGAGUGUGUGUGUGUGUGUGUGUGUGUGUGUGUGUGUGUGUGUGCGUGUGUGUGUGUCUAUGUGUGCGUUCAAGUCACAUGACAUAUUUAACCGGAUGUAGCUGCAAGACGGAGCCUCGUUGACUCUCCGUUUCAACUUAUCUCAAAAGUGAGGACCUCAACCUAUAUACCAGUUUUUAAAUUGUGUUGAUAGGCCAAAUAAAACCAGAGUUAUGAUAAAUUAUGUCCGCGAUACUUUUUUUCUGCUUAUUUUGAUCACGUUCGGCGCUCGAUCGCGCUGUAUGAGACAGGAAAACAUAGCAUGCAGACAUUAGCGACAGGUCUUACAGGCGGAAAAGGCUUGCCAAAAGAAAAAAAAAACACACCACAACAUCUCUCCUAUUGGUGGAAAACUUCACCACAACAACCAAUCCAAAAUUAUAUGGUGACUGAUUGACAAGGGGCGGGCGCUUACGUUCUUCCUGCAACAUGAGAAGGGAGGGAGGGACUCUCAGCAGGGAUGCAGUCUGGGACACGUAGUUGCAAACCUAGCGACUUUGUUGUUAGAUUCAAUGACUUUUCAGACACCCUAACAACUUUUUUUAGAAAGAAAGGGACUUUUAUCGACUUCUUCUGGAGUUUAGAGACUCUGACAUGAAGCAGGCUUUCCUUACUGAGGAGUUAGCAACGCUGCUAAGGGUGCAGAGCCACACAUGCGCUCAGAGCUCUGCAUGGGAGACUGAAGCUGACAGAGCUGCAGCAGUUAGCAGGUUUCACCCUCAGAGACCACCAGGGGUUCAUGUUGAGGCAUUUUAAUUUUUUUUUUUUUUUGUGCCAUAGACACUGUCAGCACAAUCUGCAGUUACACUAACAAAAAUGCUGCAAAAAACAAAGAAUUAUGGAAAAAUUACACAUGGACUGACAUAGAGGAGGAUCUACACAAGUUUUUUUCAUCAUGUUUUACAUCAUGCAUCAUUUACAUCAUGUUUUUUUGUAGUGGCAUAAAUAAAAAGUGACAUUUGUGAGACUAUACAGUGUUUUGUAAAUAAUUUUACAAAGAACGCCUGGGCCAUUGCCUGCAUUUUGAUGUAAAUAGAGGUAAAUUACUAUGUUCUUUGUUAAAAAUUUGCAUAUGUUUUGAAGUUUACAAUUUUUAUUUGAAGUUUAAGUUUUAAAAACAGUUCAUCACACAUAUUUGUGGUUUAAUUUCACAUUAAUUUCCAUAUUGUAUAAAUGACUGGAAAAAACUUGAGCCCCUGCCCCUGUAUAAUCAUGUGCACGUCCCUGUUCUAGCUCCAAGGUGAAUCUUCACUGCUCAUGUUCUCCUCAGAAAUAGUCACCUCACUCCCCUCAGGUUACUGUACACAUGCACCAACUAUCUGCUUCAGGUUUGAAAUGGAGCUUCAUGGUUGUCUUUUGGAGAAAUGAACAGUCAAGUUGUGUUUGAAAUUUGAUUUUUUUCAGGGGCAAAAGGAAGCCUCUGCAUUCUUGUCAAAUAUGUAAACAGCAUGUUUUUGCAGGUGCUAAAAAACAGACUCUGAGUGUGUGUGUGUGUGUGUCUGUGUGUGUGUGUGUGUGUGUGUGUGUGUGUGUGUGUGUGUGUGUGUAUGUUGGCGUGUGUGUAUAUGUGUGUGUAUCCUGCAGUACUCUGUACUCCUGCAGUGGCCAAAAAGACUUUUAAGAAUGUGGAUUUUUGGGUCAUCUUUGGCGCCCCCUAGAACUGCAGUACUCUGUACUCCUGCAGUGGCCAAAAUGACUUUUAAGAAUGUGGAUUUUUGGGUCAUCUUUGGCGCCCCCUAGAACGUAAACCGUGGGGUGCAGCGUCAUGAUUUUUACAACUUUGAAUGGGCAUGGGGUGUAGAUUGCCCUGAGCAAAUUUGGUAUCGGUGGGACGAAAGCCUUAGGAGGAGAUAGCCACAUUCCAAUGUGUCCGAAUCGGCAAAAAAUGCAAAAUAGCCCUUUAACCGUACAUUAUACAGAUACGCGCUCUUUGACUUUUUCGUAGAUCUAAUUGAGAUACACAUGAUUGUCAAUUUUUGUGUCAAUAUGACAAAGCGUUCAGGCGUGACACUCAACAAUGUGUAUUUUUAUGUAAGGGGACAAGAAAAAAUUGACUUUUUUCUCCUACCAUGGAGGGGCGCUCUUUUGGGGAGUAAAAAUUCCUUCACAAAUGUGUUGAUGGCUGGACAUUGCAUCAUCCUAGAAAACUUGGAGGCCAGUGAGGACAAAAAUAAAAAGUUAUAAAACAUUUAAGAAUGUGGAUUUUUGGGUUAUUUUUGGCGCCCCCUAGAACCUAAACCUUGGGGUGCAGCGUCAUGAUUUUGAUAACUUUUAAUGGCCAUGGGGUGUAGAUUGGCCUGAGCAAAUGUGGUGCCGGUGGAACGCCAGCCUUAGGAGGAGUUAGCGAAAUUCCAAUGUGUGCGGAUCAGCAAAAAAUGCGGAAUAACCCUUUAACCGUACAUUUGACAGAUACGCGCGCAUUGACUUUUUCGUAGAUCUUAUUGAGAUACAUGUGUGUGUCAAAUUUUGUGUCAAUAUGACAAAGCGUACAGGCGUGACACUCAACAAUGUGUAUUUUCACCUUAGGGGACAAGAAAAAAUGGACUUUUUUCUCCUGCCAUGGGGGGGCGCUCUUUUGGGGAUUAAAAAUUCUUUCACAAAUGUGUUGAUGGCUGGACAUUGCAUCAUCCUAGAAAACUUGGAGGCCAGUGAGGUCAAAAAUAAAAAGUUAUAAGACUUUUAAAUAUGUGGAUUUUAGGGUUAUCUUUGGCGCCCCCUAGAACCUAAACCGUGGGGUGCAGCGUCAUGAUUUGAAUAACUUUUAAUGGCCAUGGGGUGUAGAUUGGCCUGAGCAAAUGUGGUGCCGGUGGAACGAAAGCCUUCGGAGGAGUUAGCGAAAUUCCAAUGUGUGCGGAUCGGCAAAAAAUGCGGAAUAACCCUUUAACCGUACAUUUGACAGAUAUGCCCGCACUGACUUUUUUGUAGAUCUUAUUGAGAUACAUGUGUGUGUCAAUUUUUGUGUCAAUAUGACAAAGCGUAAAGGCGUGACAGUCAAUAGUGUGAAUUUUCACCUUAGGGGGCGCUAUGGAGCCAUUUUGCAUUUUCUUGUUUGGGCGACUUCGGAAUAUCAAAUUUUUCACCAGGCCCGGUCAUCCUGCCAAAUUUCAUGAGUUUUCGCCAGUGGGAAGUGGGCCAUUUUCCAGUUCAAAGGGGAGGAAAAAGAAGAAAGAAAGAAACAAAGAAAAACCCCUUGGGGAAUAAUAGGGCUCUCGCAGCUGCUUAGCAGCUACGCUCGGGCCCUAAGAAAGAAAGAAAGAAAGAAAGAAAGAAACAAAGAAAAACCACUUGGGGAAUAAUAGGGCCUACGCCCGGCUGCUCUGCAGCUGGCUCGGGCCCUAAGAAACAAAGAAAAACCACUUGGGGAAUAAUAGGGCUCUCGCAGCUGCUUAGCAGCUACGCUCGGGCCCUAACUAGGGCCCCGGUGGGGCACUGUCGGGCCCGAGCCGCGUCGCGCCGCCCCCAGCGCGACCGCCUCCCCCUCCCGAUCGCGUCACACUCAAGGUCCAAAGAUGGUGUGCGCACUUGUCUGUGGUCAUUUCCCAUUAUAAUGAAUGGGAGGCGCAGUUUCUACCAAAACACUCGCUGCAGACAAACUUCAUGUCCUAUUUGAAAAAAGUCUGGACCAUGAGUGAGGGCACAAACACAGCUAUGAUAUAUCGAAAUGGCAGGUUGCUCCUCCUUACGGUGUUACCUGGAGAGCGAUGCGAUUGAGCCAUUGAGCGAUGGGCAGGGUAAACUUGACUUUUUCUCCUGCCUUGGGGGGGGGGGGGGGAUGUGGAUUCCUUUAAGAAUGUGGAUUUUUGGGUCAUCUUUGGCGCCCCCUAGAACGUAAACCGUGGGGUGCAGCGUCAUGAUUUUUACAACUUUUAAUGGCCACGGGGUGUAGAUUGGCCUGAGCAAAUGUGGUGCCGGUGGAACGAAAGCCUUCGGAGGAGUUAGCGAAAUUCCAAUGUGUGCGGAUCGGCAAAAAAUGCAAAAUAACCCUUUAACCGUAAUUUUGACAGAUACGGCCGCACUGACUUUUUUGUAGAUCUUAUUGAGAUACAUAUGUGUGUCAAUUUUUGUGUCAAUAUGACAAAGCGUACAGGCGUGACAGUCAAUAGUGUGAAUUUCCACCUUAGGGGACAAGAAAAAAUGGACUUUUUUCUCCUGCCAUGGGGGGGCGCUCUUUUGGGGAGUAAAAAUUCCUUCACAAAUGUGUUGAUGGCUGGACAUUGCAUCAUCCUAGAAAACUUGGAGGCCAGUGAGGACAAAAAUAAAAAGUUAUAAGACUUUGAAAUAUGUGGAUUUUAGUGUUAUCUUUGGCGCCCCCUAGAACCUAAACCGUGGGGUGCAGCGUCAUGAUUUGAAUAACUUUUAAUGGCCAUGGGGUGUAGAUUGGCCUGAGCAAAUGUGGUGCCGGUGGAACGAAAGCCUUCGGAGGAGUUAGCGAAAUUCCAAUGUGUGCGGAUCGGCAAAAAAUGCGCAAUAACCCUUUAACCGUACAUUUGACAGAUACGCCCGCACUGACUUUUUUGUAGAUCUUAUUGAGAUACAUGUGUGUGUCAAUUUUUGUGUCAUUUUGACAAAGCGUACAGGCGUCAGGUGAAUUUUUCACCUUAGGGGGCGCUAUGGAGCCAUUUUGCAUUUUCUUGUUUGGGCGACUUCGGAAUAUCAAAUUUUUCACCAGGCCCGGUCGUCCUGCCAAAUUUCAUGAGUUUUCGCCAGUGGGAAGUGGGCCAUUUUCCAGUUCAAAGGGGAGGAAAAAUAACUAGGACCCCGUUGGGGCACUGGCGGGCCCGAGCUGUGUCGCGCCCCCCCCCCAACGCGCUGCCUCCCCGUCCCAUUUGUGUCCUCUGGCCAUCGUCCUCUCUGGUAACGCCCAUCACUGCAAAGACCCUUUUCCUUCAUCGGCGUUUGCUGUUCUUCCUGCCAGUGCGUGUUGCUUUCACUUACACUUGCCACAGCCAGCCUCUUGAGUGCCUAGCCUAUUGGAUAUCACUGUCACCUACUCAGGACAGUCAUUACCUUUCUAUUAAUACUUUGUUUUUUAAUUUCACAUUAAUUUCCAUAUUGUAUAAACAACUGGAAAAAACUUGAGCCCCUGCCCCUGUAUAAUCAUGUGCACGUCUCUGUUCUAGCUCUAAGGUGAAUCUUCACUGCUCAUGUUCUCCUCAGAAGCAGUCACCUCACUCCCCUCAGGUUACUGUACACAUGCACCAACUGCCUGCUUCAGGUUUGGAUGGAGCUUCAUGGUUGUCUUUUGGAGAAAUGACCAGUCAAGUUGUGUUUGAAAUUUGAUUUUUUUCAGGGGCAAAAGGAGCCUCUGCAUUCUUGUCAAAUAUGUAAAUAGCAUGUUUUUGCAGGUGCUAAAAACCAGACUCUGAGUGUGUGUGUGUGCGUGUGUGUGUGUGUCUGUGUGUGUGUGUGUGUGUGUGUGUGUGUGUGUGCGUUCAAGUCACAUGACAUAUUUAACCGGAUGUAGCUGCAAGACGGAGCCUCGUUGACUCCGUUUCAACUUAUCUCAAAAGUGAGGACCUCAACCUAUAUACCAGUUUUUAAAUUGUGUUGAUAGGCCAAAUAAAACCAGAGUUAUGAUAAAUUAUGUCCGCGAUACUUGUUUUCUGCUUAUUUUGAUCACGUUCGGCGCUCGAUCGCGCUGUAUGAGACAGGAAAACAUAGCAUGCAGACAUUAGCGACAGGUCUUACAGGCGGAAAAGGCUUGCCAAAGGAAAAAAAAAACACACCACAACAUCUCUCCUAUUGGUGGAAAACUUCACCACAACAACCAAUCCAAAAUUAUAUGGUGACUGAUUGACAAGGGGCGGGCGCUUACGUUCUUCCUGCAAUAUGAGAAGGGAGGGAGGGACUCUCAGCAGGGAUGCAGUCUGGGACACGUAGUUGCAAACCUAGCGACUUUGUUGUUAGAUUCAAUGACUUUUCAGACCCCCUAACGACUUUUUUUUUAGAAAGUGACUUUUAUCGACUUCUUCUGGAGUUUAGAGACUCUGACAUGAAGCAGGCUUUCCUUACUGAGGAGUUAGCAACGCUGCUAAGGGUGCAGAGCCACACAUGCGCUCCGAGCUCUGCAUGGGAGACUGAAGCUGACAGAGCUGCAGCAGUUAGCAGGUUUCACCCUCAGAGACCACCAGGGGUUCAUGUUGAGGCAUUUUCAGUUUUUUUUUUUUUUGCCAUAGACACUGUCAGCACAAUCUGCAGUUACACUAACAAAAAUGCUGCAAAAAACAAAGAAUUAUGGAAAAAUUACACAUGGACUAACAUAGAGGAGGAUCUACACAAGUUUUUUACAUCAUGUUUUACAUCAUGCAUCAUUUACAUCAUGUUUUUCUGUAGUGGCAUAAAUAAAAAGUGACAUUUGUGAGACUAUACAGUGUUUUGUAAAUAAUUUUACAAAGAACACCUGGGCCAUUGCCUGCAUUUUGAUGUAAAUAGAGGUAAAUUACUAUGUUCUUUGUUAAAACUUUGCAUAUGUUUUGAAGUUUACAAUUUUUAUUUGAAGUUUAAGUUCUUAAAACAGUUCAUCACACAUAUUUGUGGUUUUCACAGUAAAAACGUUACUUUUUUCCACUCGGAUUUUAUGUUUUGUGUGUGAAUUUGGGUCCAAUGUGUAAAUAUAGUAUGUCAAAAUGAUAAAAUAACUGUAAAUUGACACAGGUGAGGUUGUGCUGAAAAAAAUGAUACCAGGCAAGGCAAGGUAAAAAUUUUGUAAGAGGAAAUAUAAAGGUAAAAUCUAAAGUAGUCAAAAACGGCCAAUAGUGACUCACAGACUCCACAGACAAGUCCCUUUGGCGCCACUCAGUGGGCAAAACUACUUUGUCUACUGUAAUGUAUAUUUGGGUCAUCUUUGGCGCCCCCUAAAACGUAAACCGUGGGGUGCAGCGUCAUGAUUUUUACAACUUUGAAUGGCCAUGGAGUGUAGAUUGGCCUGAGCAAAUUUGGUGUCAGUGGGACGAAAGCCUUAGGAGGAGUUAGCGAAAUUCCAAUGUUUGCGAAUCGGCAAAAAAUGCAAAAUAGCCCUUUUACCGUACAUUAUACAGAUACGCGCUCUUUGACUUUUUCGUAGAUCUAAUUGAGAUACACAUGAUUGUCAAUUUUUGUGUCAUUUUGCCAAAGCGUACAGGCGUGACAGUCAACAAUGUGUAUUUUCACCUUAGGGGACAAGAAAAAAUGGACUUUUUUCUCCUGCCAUGGGGGGGCGCUCUUUUAGGGAGUAAAAAUUCCUUCACAAAUGUGUUGAUGGCUGGACAUUGCAUCAUCCUAGAAAACUUGGAGGCCAGUGAGGACAAAAAUAAAAAGUUAUAAGACUUUUAAAAAUGUGGAUUUUUGGGUUAUCUUUGGCGCCCCCUAGAACGUAAACCGUGGGGUGCAGCGUCAUGAUUUGAAUAACUUUUAAUGGCCAUGGGGUGUAGAUUGGCCUGAGCAAAUGUGGUGCCGGUGGAACGAAAGACUUCGGAGGAGUUAGCGAAAUUCCAAUGUGUGCGAAUCGGCAAAAAAUGCGGAAUAACCCUUUAACCGUACAUUUGACAGAUACGCGCGCGUGGACUUUUUUGUAGAUCUUAUUGAGAUACAUGUGUGUGUCAAUUUUUGUGUCAUUUUGACAAAGCGUACAGGCGUGACACUCAACAAUGUGUUUUUUCACCUUAGGGGACAAGAAAAAAUGGACUUUUUUCUCCUGCCAUGGGGGGGCGCUCUUUUGGGGAGUAAAAAUUCCUUCACAAAUGUGUUGAUGGCUGGACAUUGCAUCAUCCUAGAAAACUUGGAGGCCAGUGAGGGCAAAAAUAAAAAGUUAUAAGACUUUUAAAUAUGUGGAUUUUAGGGUUAUCUUUGGCGCCCCCUAGAACCUAAACCGUGGGGUGCAGCGUCAUGAUUUGAAUAACUUUUAAUGGCCAUGGGGUGUAGAUUGGCCUGAGCAAAUGUGGUGCCGGUGGAACGAAAGCCUUCGGAGGAGUUAGCGAAAUUCCAAUGUGUGCGGAUCGGCAAAAAAUGCGAAAUAACCCUUUAACCGUACAUUUGACAGAUACGGCCGCACUGACUUUUUUGUAGAUCUUAUUGAGAUACAUGUGUGUGUCAAUUUUUGUGUCAUUUUGACAAAGCGUACAGGCGUGACAGUCAAUAGUGUGAAUUUUCACCUUAGGGGGCGCUAUGGAGCCAUUUUGCAUUUUCUUGUUUGGGCGACUUCGGAAUAUCAAAUUUUUCACCAGGCCCGGUCGUCCUGCCAAAUUUCAUGAGUUUUCGCCAGUGGGAAGUGGGCCAUUUUCCAGUUCAAAGGGGAGGAAAAAGAAACUAGGGCCCCGGUGGGGCACUGUCGGGCCCGAGCCGCGUCGCGCCGCCCCCAGUGCGACCGCCUCCCCGUCCCGAUCGCGUCACACUCAAGAACCAAAGAUGGUGUGCGCACUUGUCUGUGGUCAUUUCCCAUUAUAAUGAAUGGGAGGCGCAGUUUCUACCAAAACACUCGCUGCAGACAAACUUCAUGUCCUAUUUGAAAAAAGUCUGGACCAUGAGUGAGGGCACAAACACAGCUAUGAUAUAUCGAAAUGCCAGGUUGCUCCUCCUUACGGUGUUGCCUGGAGAGCGAUGCGAUUGAGCCAUUGAGCGAUGGGCAGGAAAAACUUGACUUUUUCUCCUGCCAUAGGGGGGGGGAUGUGGAUUCUUUUAAGAAUGUGGAUUUUUGGGUCCUCUUUGGCGCCCCCUAGAACCUAAACCGUGGGGUGCAGCGUCAUGAUUUUUACAACUUUGAAUGGCCAUGGGGUGUAGAUUGGCCUGAGCAAAUUUGGUGUCAGUGGGACGAAAGCCUUAGGAGGAGUUAGCCACAUUCCAAUGUGUGCGAAUCGGCAAAAAAUGAAAAAUAGCCCUUUAACCGUACAUUUGACAGAUACGCGCGAAUUGACUUUUUUGUAGAUCUUAUUGAGAUACAUAUGUGUGUCAAUUUUUGUGUCAAUAUGAUAAAGCGUACAGGCGUGACAGUCAAUAGUGUGAAUUUCCACCUUAGGGGACAAGAAAAAAUUGACUUUUUUCUCCUGCCAUGGGGGGGCGCUCUUUUGGGGAGUAAAAAUUCCUUCACAAAUGUGUUGAUGGCUGGACAUUGCAUCAUCCUAGAAAACUUGGAGGCCAGUGAGGACAAAAAUAAAAAGUUAUAAGACUUUUAAAUAUGUGGAUUUUAGGGUUAUCUUUGGCGCCCCCUAGAACCUAAACCGUGGGAUGCAGCGUCAUGAUUUGAAUAACUUUUAAUGGCCAUGGGGUGUAGAUUGGCCUGAGCAAAUGUGGUGCCGGUGGAACGAAAGCCUUCGGAGGAGUUAGCGAAAUUCCAAUGUGUGCGGAUCGGCAAAAAAUGCGGAAUAACCCUUUAACCGUACAUUUGACAGAUACGCGCGCAUUGACUUUUUCGUAGAUCUUAUUGAGAUACAUGUGUGUGUCAAUUUUUGUGUCAUUUUGCCAAAGCGUACAGGUGUUACACUCAACAAUGUGUAUUUUCACCUUAGGUGACAAGAAAAAAUGGACUUUUUUCUCCUGCCAUGGGGGGGCGCUCUUUUGGGGAGUAAAAAUUCCUUCACAAAUGUGUUGAUGGCUGGACAUUGCAUCAUCCUAGAAAACUUGGAGGCCAGUGAGGACAAAAAUAAAAAGUUAUAAGACUUUUAAAUAUGUGGAUUUUAGUGUUAUCUUUGGCGCCCCCUAGAACCUAAACCUUGGGGUGCAGCGUCAUGAUUUUGAUAACUUUUAAUGGCCACGGGGUGUAGAUUGGCCUGAGCAAAUGUGGUGCCGGUGGAACGAAAGCCUUCGGAGGAGUUAGCGAAAUUCCAAUGUGUGCGGAUCGGCAAAAAAUGCGAAAUAACCCUUUAACCGUAAUUUUGACAGAUACGGCCGCACUGACUUUUUUGUAGAUCUUAUUGAGAUACAUAUGUGUGUCAAUUUUUGUGUCAAUAUGACAAAGCGUACAGGCGUGACAGUCAAUAGUGUGAAUUUCCACCUUAGGGGGCGCUAUGGAGCCAUUUUGAAUUUUAUUGUUUGGGCGACUUCAGAAUAUCGAAUUUUUCACCAGGCCCGGUCGUCCUGCCAAAUUUCAUGAGUUUUCGCCAGUGGGAAGUGGGCCAUUUUCCAGUUCAAAGGGGAGGAAAAAGAAGAACUAGGGCCCCGUUGGGGCACUGGCGGGCCCGAGCCGUGUCACGCCGCCCCCAGCGCGACCGCCUCCCCCACCCGAUCGCGUCACACUCAAGGUCCAAAGAUGGUGUGCGCACUUGUUUGUGGUCAUUUACCAUUAUAAUGAACGGGAGGCGCAGUUUCUACCAAAACGCUCGCUGCAGAAAAACUCCAUGUCCUAUUUGAAAAAAGUCUGGACCAUGAGUGAGGGCACAAACACAGCUAAGAUAUAUCCAAAUGGCAAGUUGCUCCUCCUUUCGCUUUUGCCGAGAGAGCAGUGCGUUUGAGCCAUUGAAUGAUGAACAGGAAAAACUUGACUUUAUUCUCCUGCCAUGGGGGGAGCUCUUUUAAAGAGAAAAAACUCCUUCACAAAUGUGUUGAUGGCUGGACAUUGCAUCAUCCUAGAAAACAUGGAGGCCAGUGAGGACAAAAAUAAAAAGUUAUAAGACUUUUAAAUAUGUGGAUUUUAGGGUUAUAUUUGGCGCCCCCUAGAACCUAAACCGUGGGGUGCAGCGUCAUGAUUUGAAUAACUUUUAAUGGCCAUGGGGUGUAGAUUGGCCUGAGCAAAUGUGGUGCCGGUGGAACGAAAGCCUUCGGAGGAAUUAGCGAAAUUCCAAUGUGUGCGAAUCUGCAAAAAAUGCGAAAUAACCCUUUAACCGUACAUUUUACAGAUACGUGGCCAUUGACUUUUUCGAAGAUCUUAUUGAAAUACACGUGUAUGUAAAAUUUUGUGUCAAUACGACAAAACAUACAGGCGUAGCACUCAACAAUGUGUAUUUUCACCUUAGUGGACAAGAAAAAAUUGACUUUUUUCUCCUGCCAUGGGGGAGCGCUCUUUUGCCGAGUAAAAAUUCCUUCACAAAUGUGUUGAUGGCUGGACAUUGCAUCAUCCUAGAAAACUUGGAGGCCAGUGGGGACAAAAAUAAAAAGUUAUAAGACUUUUAAAUAUGUGGAUUUUACGGUUAUCUUUGGCUCCCCCUAGAACCUAAACCGUGGGGUGCAGCGUCAUGAUUUGAAUAACUUUUAAUGGCCAUGGGGUGUAGAUUGGCCUGAGCAAAUGUGGUGCCGGUGGAACGAAAGCCUUCGGAGGAGUUAGCGAAAUUCCAAUGUGUGCGGAUCGGCAAAAAAUGCGGAAUAACCCUUUAACCGUACAUUUGACAGAUACGCGCGCAUUGACUUUUUCGUAGAUCUUAUGGAGAUACAUGUGUGUGUCAAUUUUUGUGUCAUUUUGCCAAAGCGUACAGGUGUUACACUCAACAAUGUGUAUUUUCACCUUAGGGGACAAGAAAAAAUGGACUUUUUUCUCCUGCCAUAAGGGGGCGCUCUUUUGGGGAGUAAAAAUUUCUUCACAAAUGUGUUGAUGGCUGGACAUUGCAUCAUCCUAGAAAACUUGGAGGCCAGUGAGGGCAAAAAUAAAAAGUUAUAAGACUUUUAAAUAUGUGGAUCUUAGGGUUAUCUUUGGCGCCCCCUAGAACCUAAACCGUGGGGUGCAGCGUCAUGAUUUGAAUAACUUUUAAUGGCCAUGGGGUGUAGAUUGGCCUGAGCAAAUGUGGUGCCGGUGGAACGAAAGCCUUCGGAGGAGUUAGCGAAAUUCCAAUGUGUGCGGAUCGGCAAAAAAUGCGAAAUAACCCUUUAACCGUACAUUUGACAGAUACGCCCGCACUGACUUUUUUGUAGAUCUUAUUGAGAUACAUGUGUGUGUCAAUUUUUGUGUCAUUUUGACAAAGCGUACAGGCGUGACAGUGAAUAGUGUGAAUUUUCACCUUAGGGGGCGCUAUGGAGCCAUUUUGCAUUUUCUUGUUUGGGCGACUUCGGAAUAUCAAAUUUUUCACCAGGCCCGGUCGUCCUGCCAAAUUUCAUGAGUUUUCGCCAGUGGGAAGUGGGCCAUUUUCCAGUUCAAAGGGGAGGAAAAAUAAUAAUAAUAAUAAUAACAAAAGAAGGAAACUACAGGAACAAGAGGGCUCUCGCAGCUGCUUAGCAGCUACGCUCGGGCCCUAACUAGGGCCCCGUUGGGGCACUGGCGGGCCCGAGCCGUGUCACGCCGCCCCCAGCGCGACCGCCUCCCCCACCCGAUCGCGUCACACUCAAGGUCCAAAGAUGGUGUGCGCACUUGUUUGUGGUCAUUUACCAUUAUAAUGAACGGGAGGCGCAGUUUCUACCAAAACGCUCGCUGCAGAAAAACUCCAUGUCCUAUUUGAAAAAAGUCUGGACCAUGAGUGAGGGCACAAACACAGCUAAGAUAUAUCCAAAUGGCAAGUUGCUCCUCCUUUCGCUUUUGCCGAGAGAGCAGUGCGUUUGAGCCAUUGAAUGAUGAACAGGAAAAACUUGACUUUAUUCUCCUGCCAUGGGGGGCGCUCUUUUAAAGAGAAAAAACUCCUUCACAAAUGUGUUGAUGGCUGGACAUUGCAUCAUCCUAGAAAACAUGGAGGCCAGUGAGGACAAAAAUAAAAAGUUAUAAGACUUUUAAAUAUGUGGAUUUUAGGGUUAUAUUUGGCGCCCCCUAGAACCUAAACCGUGGGGUGCAGCGUCAUGAUUUGAAUAACUUUUAAUGGCCAUGGGGUGUAGAUUGGCCUGAGCAAAUGUGGUGCCGGUGGAACGAAAGCCUUCGGAGGAAUUAGCGAAAUUCCAAUGUGUGCCAAUCUGCAAAAAAUGCGAAAUAACCCUUUAACCGUACAUUUUACAGAUACGUGGCCAUUGACUUUUUCGAAGAUCUUAUUGAAAUACACGUGUAUGUAAAAUUUUGUGUCAAUACGACAAAACAUACAGGCGUAGCACUCAACAAUGUGUAUUUUCACCUUAGUGGACAAGAAAAAAUUGACUUUCUUCUCCUGCCAUGGGGGGGCGCUCUUUUGGCGAGUAAAAAUUCCUUCACAAAUGUGUUGAUGGCUGGACAUUGCAUCAUCCUAGAAAACUUGGAGGCCAGUGGGGACAAAAAUAAAAAGUUAUAAGACUUUUAAAUAUGUGGAUUUUACGGUUAUCUUUGGCUCCCCCUAGAACCUAAACCGUGGGGUGCAGCGUCAUGAUUUGAAUAACUUUUAAUGGCCAUGGGGUGUAGAUUGGCCUGAGCAAAUGUGGUGCCGGUGGAACGAAAGCCUUCGGAGGAGUUAGCGAAAUUCCAAUGUGUGCGGAUCGGCAAAAAAUGCGGAAUAACCCUUUAACCGUACAUUUGACAGAUACGCGCGCAUUGACUUUUUCGUAGAUCUUAUUGAGAUACAUGUGUGUGUCAAUUUUUGUGUCAUUUUGCCAAAGCGUACAGGUGUUACACUCAACAAUGUGUAUUUUCACCUUAGGGGACAAGAAAAAAUGGACUUUUUUCUCCUGCCAUGGGGGGGCGCUCUUUUGGGGAGUAAAAAUUCCUUCACAAAUGUGUUGAUGGCUGGACAUUGCAUCAUCCUAGAAAACUUGGAGGCCAGUGAGGGCAAAAAUAAAAAGUUAUAAGACUUUUAAAUAUGUGGAUCUUAGGGUUAUCUUUGGCGCCCCCUAGAACCUAAACCGUGGGGUGCAGCGUCAUGAUUUGAAUAACUUUUAAUGGCCAUGGGGUGUAGAUUGGCCUGAGCAAAUGUGGUGCCGGUGGAACGAAAGCCUUCGGAGGAGUUAGCGAAAUUCCAAUGUGUGCGGAUCGGCAAAAAAUGCGAAAUAACCCUUUAACCGUACAUUUGACAGAUACGCCCGCACUGACUUUUUUGUAGAUCUUAUUGAGAUACAUGUGUGUGUCAAUUUUUGUGUCAUUUUGACAAAGCGUACAGGCGUGACAGUGAAUAGUGUGAAUUUUCACCUUAGGGGGCGCUAUGGAGCCAUUUUGCAUUUUCUUGUUUGGGCGACUUCGGAAUAUCAAAUUUUUCACCAGGCCCGGUCGUCCUGCCAAAUUUCAUGAGUUUUCGCCAGUGGGAAGUGGGCCAUUUUCCAGUUCAAAGGGGAGGAAAAAUAAUAACUAGGACCCCGUUGGGGCACUGGCGGGCCCGAGCCGUGUCGCGUCUCCCCCCCCCCACCCCCCCACCCCCCAACGUGCUGCCUCCCCGUCCCAUUUGUGUCCUCUGGCCAUCGCCCUCUCUGUUAACGCCCAUCACUGCAAAGACCCUUUUCCUUCAUCGGCGUUUGCUGUUCUUCCUGCCAGUGCGUGUUGCUUUCACUUACACUUGCCACAGCCAGCCUCGUGAGUGCCUAGCCUAUUGGAUAUCACUGUCACCUACACAGGACAGUCAUUACCUUUCUAUUAAUACUUUGUGUUUUAAUUUCACAUUAAUUUCCAUAUUGUAUAAACGACUGGAAAAAACUUGAGCCCCUGCCCCUGUAUAAUCAUGUGCAUGUCUCUGUUCUAGCUCCAAGGUGAAUCUUCACUGCUCAUGUUCUCCUCAGAAGCACUCACCUCACUCCCCUCAGGUUACUGUACACAUGCACCAACUGCCUGCUUCAGGUUUGGAUGGAGCUUCAUGGUUGUCUUUUGGAGAAAUGACCAGUCAAGUUGUGUUUGAAAUUUGAUUUUUUUCAGGGGCAAAAGGAGCCUCUGCAUUCUUGUCAAAUAUGUAAAUAGCAUGUUUUUGCAGGUGCUAAAAACCAGACUCUGAGUGUGUGUGUGUGUGUGUGUGUGUGUGUGUGUGUGUGUGUGUGUGUGUGUGUGUGUGUGUGCGUGUGUGUGUGUCUAUGUGUGCGUUCAAGUCACAUGACAUAUUUAACCGGAUGUAGCUGCAAGACGGAGCCUCGUUGACUCUCCGUUUCAACUUAUCUCAAAAGUGAGGACCUCAACCUAUAUACCAGUUUUUAAAUUGUGUUGAUAGGCCAAAUAAAACCAGAGUUAUGAUAAAUUAUGUCCGCGAUACUUUUUUUCUGCUUAUUUUGAUCACGUUCGGCGCUCGAUCGCGCUGUAUGAGACAGGAAAACAUAGCAUGCAGACAUUAGCGACAGGUCUUACAGGCGGAAAAGGCUUGCCAAAAGAAAAAAAAAACACACCACAACAUCUCUCCUAUUGGUGGAAAACUUCACCACAACAACCAAUCCAAAAUUAUAUGGUGACUGAUUGACAAGGGGCGGGCGCUUACGUUCUUCCUGCAACAUGAGAAGGGAGGGAGGGACUCUCAGCAGGGAUGCAGUCUGGGACACGUAGUUGCAAACCUAGCGACUUUGUUGUUAGAUUCAAUGACUUUUCAGACACCCUAACGACUUUUUUUAGAAAGAAAGGGACUUUUAUCGACUUCUUCUGGAGUUUAGAGACUCUGACAUGAAGCAGGCUUUCCUUACUGAGGAGUUAGCAACGCUGCUAAGGGUGCAGAGCCACACAUGCGCUCUGAGCUCUGCAUGGGAGACUGAAGCUGACAGAGCUGCAGCAGUUAGCAGGUUUCACCCUCAGAGACCACCAGGGGUUCAUGUUGAGGCAUUUUAAUUUUUUUUUUUUUUUGUGCCAUAGACACUGUCAGCACAAUCUGCAGUUACACUAACAAAAAUGCUGCAAAAAACAAAUAAUUAUGGAAAAAUUACACAUGGACUGACAUAGAGGAGGAUCUACACAAGUUUUUUACAUCAUGUUUUACAUCAUGCAUCAUUUACAUCAUGUUUUUUUGUAGUGGCAUAAAUAAAAAGUGACAUUUGUGAGACUAUACAGUGUUUUGUAAAUAAUUUUACAAAGAACGCCUGGGCCAUUGCCUGCAUUUUGAUGUAAAUAGAGGUAAAUUACUAUGUUCUUUGUUAAAAAUUUGCAUAUGUUUUGAAGUUUACAAUUUUUAUUUGAAGUUUAAGUUUUAAAAACAGUUCAUCACACAUAUUUGUGGUUUAAUUUCACAUUAAUUUCCAUAUUGUAUAAAUGACUGGAAAAAUCUUGAGCCCCUGCCCCUGUAUAAUCAUGUGCACGUCCCUGUUCUAGCUCCAAGGUGAAUCUUCACUGCUCAUGUUCUCCUCAGAAAUAGUCACCUCACUCCCCUCAGGUUACUGUACACAUGCACCAACUAUCUGCUUCAGGUUUGAAAUGGAGCUUCAUGGUUGUCUUUUGGAGAAAUGAACAGUCAAGUUGUGUUUGAAAUUUGAUUUUUUUCAGGGGCAAAAGGAAGCCUCUGCAUUCUUGUCAAAUAUGUAAACAGCAUGUUUUUGCAGGUGCUAAAAAACAGACUCUGAGUGUGUGUGUGUGUCUGUGUGUGUGUGUGUGUGUGUGUGUGUGUGUGUGUGUAUGUUGGCGUGUGUGUAUAUGUGUGUGUAUCCUGCAGUACUCUGUACUCCUGCAGUGGCCAAAAAGACUUUUAAGAAUGUGGAUUUUUGGGUCAUCUUUGGCGCCCCCUAGAACUGCAGUACUCUGUACUCCUGCAGUGGCCAAAAUGACUUUUAAGAAUGUGGAUUUUUGGGUCAUCUUUGGCGCCCCCUAGAACGUAAACCGUGGGGUGCAGCGUCAUGAUUUUUACAACUUUGAAUGGGCAUGGGGUGUAGAUUGCCCUGAGCAAAUUUGGUAUCGGUGGGACGAAAGCCUUAGGAGGAGAUAGCCACAUUCCAAUGUGUGCGAAUCGGCAAAAAAUGCAAAAUAGCCCUUUAACCGUACAUUAUACAGAUACGCGCUCUUUGACUUUUUCGUAGAUCUAAUUGAGAUACACAUGAUUGUCAAUUUUUGUGUCAAUAUGACAAAGCGUUCAGGCGUGACACUCAACAAUGUGUAUUUUUAUGUAAGGGGACAAGAAAAAAUUGACUUUUUUCUCCUACCAUGGGGGGCGCUCUUUUGGGGAGUAAAAAUUCCUUCACAAAUGUGUUGAUGGCUGGACAUUGCAUCAUCCUAGAAAACUUGGAGGCCAGUGAGGACAAAAAUAAAAAGUUAUAAAACAUUUAAGAAUGUGGAUUUUUGGGUUAUCUUUGGCGCCCCCUAGAACCUAAACCGUGGGGUGCAGCAUCAUGAUUUGAAUAACUUUUAAUGGCCAUGGGGUGUAGAUUGGCCUGAGCAAAUGUGGUGCCGGUGGAACGAAAGCCUUCGGAGGAGUUAGCGAAAUUCCAAUGUGUGCGUAUCGGCAAAAAAUGCGGAAUAACCCUUUAACUGUACAUUUGACAGAUACGCGCGCAUGGACUUUUUAGUAGAUCUUAUUGAGUUACAUGUGUGUGUCAAUUUUUGUGUCAUUUUGACAAAGCGUAUAGGCGUGACACUCAACAAUGUGUAUUUUCACCUUAGGGGACAAGAAAAAAUGGACUUUUUUCUCCUGCCAUGGGGGGGCGCUCUUUUGGGGAGUAAAAAUUCCUUCACAAAUGUGUUGAUGGCUGGACAUUGCAUCAUCCUAGAAAACUUGGAGGCCAGUGAGGACAAAAAUAAAAAGUUAUAAGACUUUUAAAUAUGUGGAUUUUAGUGUUAUCUUUGGCGCCCCCUAGAACCUAAACCUUGGGGUGCAGCGUCAUGAUUUUGAUAACUUUUAAUGGCCACGGGGUGUAGAUUGGCCUGAGCAAAUGUGGUGCUGGUGGAACGAAAGCCUUCGGAGGAGUUAGCGAAAUUCCAAUGUGUGCGGAUCGGCAAAAAAUGCGAAAUAACCCUUUAACCGUAAUUUUGACAGAUACGGCCGCACUGACUUUUUUGUAGAUCUUAUUGAGAUACAUAUGUGUGUCAAUUUUUGUGUCAAUAUGACAAAGCGUACAGGCGUGACAGUCAAUAGUGUGAAUUUCCACCUUAGGGGGCGCUAUGGAGCCAUUUUGCAUUUUAAUGUUUGGGCGACUUCAGAAUAUCAAAUUUUUCACCAGGCCCGGUCGUCCUGCCAAAUUUCAUGAGUUUUCGCCAGUGGGAAGUGGGCCAUUUUCCAGUUCAAAGGGGAGGAAAAAGAAGAAAGAAAGAAAGAAAGAAAGAAACAAAGAAAAACCACUUGGGGAAUAAUAGGGCCUACGCCCGGCUGCUCUGCAGCUGGCUCGGGCCCUAAUAAUAAUAACUAGGACCCCGUUGGGGCACUGGCGGGCCCGAGCCGUGUCGCGUCCCCCCCCCAACGUGCUGCCUCCCCGUCCCAUUUGUGUCCUCUGGCCAUCGCCCUCUCUGGUAACGCCCAUCACUGCAAAGACCCUUUUCCUUCAUCGGCGUUUGCUGUUCUUCUUGCCAGUGCGUGUUGCUUUCACUUACACUUGCCACAGCCAGCCUCGUGAGUGCCUAGCCUAUUGGAUAUCACUGUCACCUACACAGGACAGUCAUAACCUUUCUAUUAAUACUUUGUGUUUUAAUUUCACAUUAAUUUCCAUAUUGUAUAAACGACUGGAAAAAACUUGAGCCCCUGCCCCUGUAUAAUCAUGUGCAUGUCUCUGUUCUAGCUCCAAGGUGAAUCUUCACUGCUCAUGUUCUCCUCAGAAGCACUCACCUCACUCCCCUCAGGUUACUGUACACAUGCACCAACUGCCUGCUUCAGGUUUGGAUGGAGCUUCAUGGUUGUCUUUUGGAGAAUUGAGCAGUCAAGUUGUGUUUGAAAUUUGAUUUUUUUCAGGGGCAAAAGGAGCCUCUGCAUUCUUGUCAAAUAUGUAAAUAGCAUGUUUUUGCAGGUGCUAAAAACCAGACUCUGAGUGUGUGUGUGUGUGUGUGUGUGUGUGCGUGUGUGUGUGUGCGUUCAAGUCACAUGACAUAUUUAACCGGAUGUAGCUGCAAGACGGAGCCUCGUUGACUCUCCGUUUCAACUUAUCUCAAAAGUGAGGACCUCAACCUAUAUACCAGUUUUUAAAUUGUGUUGAUAGGCCAAAUAAAACCAGAGUUAUGAUAAAUUAUGUCCGCGAUACUUUUUUUCUGCUUAUUUUGAUCACGUUCGGCGCUCGAUCGCGCUGUAUGAGACAGGAAAACAUAGCAUGCAGACAUUAGCGACAGGUCUUACAGGCGGAAAAGGCUUGCCAAAAGAAAAAAAAAACACACCACAACAUCUCUCCUAUUGGUGGAAAACUUCACCACAACAACCAAUCCAAAAUUAUAUGGUGACUGAUUGACAAGGGGCGGGUGCUUACGUUCUUCCUGCAACAUGAGAAGCGAGGGAGGGACUCUCAGCAGGGAUGCAGUCUGGGACACGUAGUUGCAAACCUAGCGACUUUGUUGUUAGAUUCAAUGACUUUUCAGACCCCCUAACGACUUUUUUUUUAGAAAGAAAGGGACUUUUAUCGACUUCUUCUGGAGUUUAGAGACUCUGACAUGAAGCAGGCUUUCCUUACUGAGGAGUUAGCAACGCUGCUAAGGGUGCAGAGCCACACAUGCGCUCAGAGCUCUGCAUGGGAGACUGAAGCUGACAGAGCUGCAGCAGUUAGCAGGUUUCACCCUCAGAGACCACCAGGGGUUCAUGUUGAGGCAUUUUAAUUUUUUUUUUUUUUGUGCCAUAGACACUGUCAGCACAAUCUGCAGUUACACUAACAAAAAUGCUGCAAAAAACAAAGAAUUAUGGAAAAAUUACACAUGGACUGACAUAGAGGAGGAUCUACACAAGUUUUUUACAUCAUGUUUUACAUCAUGCAUCAUUUACAUCAUGUUUUUUUGUAGUGGCAUAAAUAAAAAGUGACAUUUGUGAGACUAUACAGUGUUUUGUAAAUAAUUUUACAAAGAACGCCUGGGCCAUUGCCUGCAUUUUGAUGUAAAUAGAGGUAAAUCACUAUGUUUUUUGUUAAAAAUUUGCAUAUGUUUUGAAGUUUACAAUUUUUAUUUGAAGUUUAAGUUUUAAAAACAGUUCAUCACACAUAUUUGUGGUUUUCACAGUAAAAAUGUUACUUUUUUCCACUCGGAUUUUAUGUUUUGUGUGUGAAUUUGGGUCCAUUGUGUAAAUUCAGUAUGUCAACAUGAUAAAAUAACUGUAAAUUCGCACAGGUGAGGUUGUGCUGAAAAAAAUGAUACCAGGCAAGGCACGUGAUUGUCAAAUUUUGUGUCAAUAUGACAAAGCGUAUAGGCGUGAAUCUCAACAAUAUGUAUUUUCACCUUAGGGGACAAGAAAAAAUGGACUUUUUUCUCCUGCCAUGGGGGGGCGCUCUUUUGGGGAGUAAAAAUUCCUUCACAAAUGUGUUGAUGGCUGGACAUUGCAUCAUCCUAGAAAACUUGGAGGCCAGUGAGGACAAAAAUAAAAAGUUAUAAAACUUUUAAAUAUGUGGAUUUUAGGGUUAUCUUUGGCGCCCCCUAGAACCUAAACCGUGGGGUGCAGCGUCAUGAUUUGAAUAACUUUUAAUGGCCAUGGGGUGUAGAUUGGCCUGAGCAAAUGUGGUGCCGGUGGAACGAAAGCCUUCGGAGGAGUUAGCGAAAUUCCAAUGUGUGCGUAUCUGCAAAAAAUGCGGAAUAACCCUUUAACUGUACAUUUGACAGAUACGCGCGCAUGGACUUUUUUGUAGAUCUUAUUGAGUUACAUGUGUGUGUCAAUUUUUGUGUCAUUUUGACAAAGCGUAUAGGCGUGACACUCAACAAUGUGUAUUUUCACCUUAGGGGACAAGAAAAAAUGGACUUUUUUCUCCUGCCAUGGGGGGGCGCUCUUUUGGGGAGUAAAAAUUCCUACACAAAUGUGUUGAUGGCUGGACAUUGCAUCAUCCUAGAAAACUUGGAGGCCAGUGAGGACAAAAAUAAAAAGUUAUAAGACUUUUAAAUAUGUGGAUUUUAGUGUUAUCUUUGGCGCCCCCUAGAACCUAAACCUUGGGGUGCAGCGUCAUGAUUUUGAUAACUUUUAAUGGCCACAGGGUGUAGAUUGGCCUGAGCAAAUGUGGUGCCGGUGGAACGAAAGCCUUCGGAGGAGUUAGCGCGAAAUUCCAAUGUGUGCGGAUCGGCAAAAAAUGCGAAAUAACCCUUUAACCGUAAUUUUGACAGAUACGGCCGCACUGACUUUUUUGUAGAUCUUAUUGAGAUACAUAUGUGUGUCAAUUUUUGUGUCAAUAUGACAAAGCGUACAGGCGUGACAGUCAAUAGUGUGAAUUUCCACCUUAGGGGGCGCUAUGGAGCCAUUUUGCAUUUUAUUGUUUGGGCGACUUCAGAAUAUCGAAUUUUUCACCAGGCCCGGUCGUCCUGCCAAAUUUCAUGAGUUUUCGCCAGUGGGAAGUGGGCCAUUUUCCAGUUCAAAGGGGAGGAAAAAGAAGAAAGAAAGAAAGAACUAGGGCCCCGGUGGGGCACUGUCGGGCCCGAGCCGCGUCGCGCCGCCCCCAGCGCGACCGCCUCCCCCUCCCGAUCGCGUCACACUAAAGGUCCAAAGAUGGUGUGCGCACUUGUCUGUGGUCAUUUCCCAUUAUAAUGAAUGGGAGGCGCAGUUUCUACCAAAACACUCGCUGCAGACAAACUUCAUGUCCUAUUUGAAAAAAGUCUGGACCAUGAGUGAGGGCACAAACACAGCUAUGAUAUAUCGAAAUGGCAGAUUGCUCCUCCUUACGGUGUUGCCUGGAGAGCGAUGCGAUUGAGCCAUUGAGCGAUGGGCAGGAAAAACUUGACUUUUUCUCCUGCCAUAGGGGGGGGAUGUGGAUUCUUUUAAGAAUGUGGAUUUUUGGGUCAUCUUUGGCGCCCCCUAGAACGUAAACCGUGGGGUGCAGCGUCAUGAUUUUUACAACUUUGAAUGGCCAUGGGGUGUAGAUUGGCCUGAGCAAAUUUGGUGUCAGUGGGACGAAAGCCUUAGGAGGAGUUAGCCACAUUCCAAUGUGUGCGAAUCGGCAAAAAAUGCAAAAUAGCCCUUUAACCGUACAUUUGACAGAUACGGGCGCAUUGACUUUUUUGUAGAUCUUAUUGAGAUACAUAUGUGUGUCAAUUUUUGUGUCAAUAUGAUAAAGCGUACAGGCGUGACAGUCAAUAGUGUGAAUUUCCACCUUAGGGGACAAGAAAAAAUUGACUUUUUUCUCCUGCCAUGGGGGGGCGCUCUUUUGGGGAGUGAAAAUUCCUUCACAAAUGUGUUGAUGGCUGGACAUUGCAUCAUCCUAGAAAACUUGGAGGCCAGUGAGGACAAAAAUAAAAAGUUAUAAGACUUUUAAAUAUGUGGAUUUUAGGGUUAUCUUUGGCGCCCCCUAGAACCUAAACCGUGGGGUGCAGCGUCAUGAUUUGAAUAACUUUUAAUGGCCAUGAGGUGUAGAUUGGCCUGAGCAAAUGUGGUGCCGGUGGAACGAAAGCCUUCGGAGGAGUUAGCGAAAUUCCAAUGUGUGCGGAUCGGCAAAAAAUGCGGAAUAACCCUUUAACCGUACAUUUGACAGAUACGCGCGCAUUGACUUUUUCGUAGAUUUUAUUGAGAUACAUGUGUGUGUCAAUUUUUGUGUCAUUUUGCCAAAGCGUACAGGUGUUACACUCAACAAUGUGUAUUUUCACCUUAGGGAACAAGAAAAAAUGGACUUUUUUCUCCUGCCAUGGGGGGGGGCGCUCUUUUGGGGAGUAAAAAUUCCUUCACAAAUGUGUUGAUGGCUGGACAUUGCAUCAUCCUAGAAAACUUGGAGGCCAGUGAGGGCAAAAUUAAAAAGUUAUAAGACUUUUAAAUAUGUGGAUCUUAGGGUUAUCUUUGGCGCCCCCUAGAACCUAAACCGUG
This is a non-coding RNA of Xyrichtys novacula (pearly razorfish), 39600 nucleotides long. The record is from the annotation of a GenBank genome assembly. NCBI's taxonomy places the organism in Eukaryota, Metazoa, Chordata, Actinopteri, Labriformes, Labridae.